GACGAGCCUCACAAACGUUAUUCGGAAUUACUGGGCGUAAAGUGUGCGCAGGCGGCCGCGCAAGUCGAGUGUGAAAUCCCCGAGCUUAACUUGGGAAUUGCGCUCGAAACUACGUGGCUGGAGUGUGGCAGAGGAAGGUGGAAUUCCACGUGUAGCGGUGAAAUGCGUAGAGAUGUGGAGGAACACCGAUGGCGAAGGCAGCCUUCUGGGCCAACACUGACGCUCAUGCACGAAAGCGUGGGGAGCAAACAGG
RNAcentral lists this ribosomal RNA (253 nucleotides) under uncultured bacterium. RNAcentral's name for it is "partial 16S ribosomal RNA". It matches the Rfam family "Bacterial small subunit ribosomal RNA", at positions 524 to 776 of the family's 1533-position model. The record is from RNAcentral.